Molecule: long non-coding RNA, 10663 nt
Organism: Gallus gallus (chicken)
Lineage: Eukaryota; Metazoa; Chordata; Aves; Galliformes; Phasianidae
Exons: 6
Source: RefSeq, a predicted model, not a curated record
UAAAUGUUUGCCAUUCAUUGAUAUGUAGAUUUCAUUUUAACACAUUUAGAGGGUUUCAUUCCAGGAUAACGUUUACAGGGCAAAGAGAUUUUUAUUUUUUCUCAAUUUAUUAUGAUGUUAUGACAUAACAACUUCAACGCGUAUCCUUUAUCUUCACACCUGCAGGUCCAGUAGGCCUCAAGAACAGUUGAUGGAAUAGCCUAAGCAGAAGAUUUUUGGCAAGGACUGGAAGACAUGUCACAAGAUCAAGGUCAUCUUCUGUGAGUGGAUUUGUUUUUCCAAAACCACUUGAAGAGGAAUUCUAAAUUGCAGUUGGAAGAUGGAAAUAUCCAGGUUUCAUCCAGAGUAUCCUGCAAGCAGAAACGAAGCAACAAGCACAACAACCUUAAGAAUGAGCUCAAACAUAUUCCUCUACCAAGGAAUCAGAAGGGUGACGAAAUGGAAAGCAGGCUGUUUACAGAGUACUUCUUCAGCCCUAGUAGAAGUAUAUAUGCUGCAGUGAAGUUCUGCGGUCAUUCCAUACAGAUUUGCCAUCAGGAUUGGCAUCGCAGCUUUGUGAUAUCCUGAGUCUGAUUCAUGGAAAGGUCACCAAAGGUUGUUAAGAACGGCUGAAGGACAUUGCUGACAUCCAAACGCUCACAUGCUCUGAUGCCAGAGAGAAUGGAAAGAAGACAAAGGGAGAAAUAAAAUGAAGGUAUGAAGAUGCAUGGUGACAAGUGAUUUUGAAGUGAUGGAGGAGAGUUCACAUCAAGGUACUUUGGGAAGGAGACUAAGCAUCACUUCAGAAGAUGAUUCUUGCAGAAUGGGAAACUUCCUAUGCAUUUUCAACAUAUGAAAAAUAUCUUCACUGGCAGUUUGCACUGGAAAGGUAAGAGUGGGCAGCAUAAUGAUCCCAAGUUGUAUCAAAAAGAUGGACCCACUGGUUGUGUUGGUAUGAAUAGGCUUUUACCUUGGUACUAACGGGACAGAAUGACACAAAACUGCCAUACCAUGUGGGGACGCACAUUUCCCUAGAGAUUGUUGGAGAGACAACUGUAGUCUUCAACUUUGUGCAAGAAGUGCCAAAACUGAAAUGGGACAUAGUUGGUUCCAGCCUGCUAGGAUUUCCCUAUGCAUCCAUACACCAGCAUCAAGGUGACUUCAUUUUUACCACCUUGAAUUAGGAAGACAAGGUAAAACGCAAAGAGGAGCUGUAAUGAGGAAAGACAAAAGUCAAAUCUAGGGCAUUAGAAGACUUUAAGACCUCAAGAUGUCUUGAGUUCUUUAGGGUGUUGCCAGAUCAGCAGCAGAAGGCUUUACUACUUGUUAAACCAUCCUGAUCUUGAUCUUAUGAUGACUGACCAAUGUACCAAGUAAUAACAUUCCUAGCAGAAUAUUGAUCUCUGCUCUUCUGCUAAGGGAAUAAAUACUCUUGUUUCCCUGAGGAUGAGCAAGCUGUAAGACAGGAGGAACGCGUUGUACCUGAUGGCUAGCUCACUUAAACUCAGCUCAGACUGCGUGUGCAGGAAGGCAGCAGGGCUCAGAGGGGCAGAUGAGAAGUUAAUGAAGCACUAAGCUUUGCUUGUCAGAACCCUGAUGUCUGACAUUAUCAUCAGAGACCUGAUUGCCCUUUUUCUUUCUGAGCAUUAGCCAGAUGAAAUCCAGUUACCAUAGCUCUGCGUGCUCCAAAAGCACAGAAGCAUUUUGAUCUGCAAUUCUGAUUUUCAGCCUUUUUUUCUCUAUAAUGGAACUCUGCCUUAGAAUGAAUAAUUUUCUAGAUUCUGCUCUGUGAUUAGCCACAGGAAACCCAGUAAAAUUACACUGUAUAAAUGAACAGAGCUACAUGAAAUUAAUAGCUCUCAGCAGCCUGCAGAGUGAUGUGAAGAGGAUAUUAAGAACUGGAAUAAUUUUGAGAACAGCAAAAAGGAAGCUUCUAAUAAUAGACAAAAUGCAUAACAACCUACAGACCAAAGACUUGUCUUUUUAUUUGGUCCCAGGGACAAAGAUUUUCUCUUUUAACUCCAAAAAAAAAUGUACAGGGCUGGAAUAAAAUGUCUGUCUGCUGCUAUUUUGCCCAGGGAGGUAGUGGAGUCACUGCUCCUAGAGCUGUUCAAGAAAUGUUUAUGUGUUGUACUGAGGGAUGUGGUUUAGUGGGAAACGUUGGUGAUGGGUGGAUGAGUGGAUUGGAUGAUCUUGGAGGUCUUUUCCAACCCUGGUGAUUAUGUGAUUCUAUUCACUCUUGCCUUUGUUAAUACAGGCUGCUCUGCUGUUUGGUGCUGACAGCUCUCAAGUCCUAUUGCCAACAAAGAUUUUGGAGAGGGGGACCUCUUUACUUUCAAGGUAACUAUCAGUCAGCUCACUUUUUCAUUUAAAUUGCUAAAUACACUAAUUAUAGCAGAUGAGUCUCUCUGCUAUUGCUGCUGCAUCAGCUUCAAAAUCUGUUGCUCAAUUUUGCAAAUGCGUUGAUAUGAAAAUACACCUCACUCCCUCAUUUUAUUUUGGGGGAUAUUAAUACAGUGGACAAGCACAGAUAGCCAGCCCUGGAGAUAAAACUGUAACAGGAAUGGCUGUGUGCAUUUUCUCACCCAGUCCUCCUAUCUAAUGUCCCUUUUCAGCUACCUCCAUGAGUGCUCAGCCUUCCAUCUCCUUGCUGAGGUGGCUGCACAGCAGAUGCAUUCAUCUGCUGCCUGCUUAGACCAAAAUAAAAUUUGUAAGUGACAGUUUGAUUAUUUGAUAUGUUGUUACAGAUCCUGGGGCCAUGGCUAGAAAAGGCACAAAGGGCAUUCAGUUUGUUUCCCUGCUUCCUGUGGAUCAUUAAUAACACUGGAGAGCGAAGUAUUGCUUUUGUGCUUACAGCAUAGCUGGGAGCCUAGUACUGCAGGUAGUUUUGCUUUAUCUUCUACAAAACAAACUCUGAGCAGGCUCUUGUAACUGUUAUCUGUGCUAAAUGCUUUUAUUUCAAGUAGAUUUUCUACAAGUGGAAUCCUGCUCUGAAGCUGAUGCACAAAAUACUCAGCAAAGCACAGAAGCCUCUUCAACUUUUUUACAGUAUAGCUCUGGGGAGCGUAUUUGCACUUACUCGUUAUCCCUCAGUGACAGCACUUCUCCAGAUGCUGGGCUCCAAGGAGAGGAGGAGCAGCUACGGCACUCCAAGUUAAGCUGUGCUGACAGUUGAGGAUGUAACUUAUACACACGUAUAAAGAGGCAGUAAUAGAUAUGGUCCUUUGAAAUGUGCUAUGGUACAGCCAAAAUUUCUUCCCCAUUCCCCUCUGUGGGUUAGCUGCACUUAAUGAUGGAUGAGUCUCCUUUUUUAAUGCUUGAAUUUUAACCUUCCUGAUACUUCUAGGAGAUUAGUGACUGUAAUGGAUCAAGCCAGAACACAGAAUAUGAAAAUAUAUACAGUAUGUAAUCACUGUCAAAACUGACCAGACUCUGAACCAGCUCCACUUGCUUCAAUUUAGGGAUCUUUUAUAUGCCUGAUGGUAUUCUGUGUAUACUCUUGCAUGCAGUAUCCUUGCACCUGAAUCUUAGAGAUAUUUUGGGUUUGUUUUUUUUUUUUUUUUGCAGCAAGAAAGUGACAGAACAGUUAACAUCUUUAACUAGAAGAUAGGAACUGCUUGUGCUUGCUGCCUGCACCUUGUUUUCCCAUCACACUGUCAAGCCAAUUACUUUAAUUAAAGUUCCGUCUGGCCUUUUUUGACAACUCAGCCUGUAAUGAUGAAAGUACGUAUGAGAAUGAUCUGGAUUAGGGAGUCAGAAUUCAUUGUUUUCCAACACUCCUGCAAUUACUAUUAAUUUCAUAUGAAAGUAGGGCACUUUCUUUGGGAAAAACAACACAAAACUGUCACUUGGGUUCAUUAGCAGAGUGGUGGUUCUCUGCAAUUCCCUCUCCAAUACAUUUCUCCAUAGGUAAAGAGUUUAGUACAGUGCUUUGAGAAAAAAAUGCAAACACUGCUAAUUGCACUGAGAUUAAUAUUCUAGGAAAUUUAAACAAACCAUUCCACUAGCAAAGUUACUUGGCAGUAGAAUAACCUUGCUGGGCAAGUACCUUGUUGUCAAAUUGGUUUUAAUCAUGGUGGAAAAAUGUACUGUUCAUGUGCUUUCAGGUUUUGGUAUAACUUAGAACUACAGCUGCUGCAGUAUAACUUACUUUCUGUGUAGCCAAGCUUCCAUAACACCACUUCUCAAGAUUUUUCUCAGAAUGCAUCUCUUCUGUCCUCAACCAUCUUCACAGAAAUCCUCUAAACUGGAAAAUAGCUAAACACACAGAAGCUCAUUUUCUCAACUGAGUUGUCAUUGGAUUUUUCAUCCUCAGGUUAACUUACAAACACCUUACAAGAGAAAAAUACAGUAUCUUUCCAGCUUUAAAAGCAAGUUCACAAAGACAGGAAAAAAAAAAUAGUGACUAGAAGCAAUUCUAAUCACCAAUUUGGGGCAUGCAGCUUUGAUUCAAGUAACUGUCCACCAGCCCUGAAGGGAAAUGAGUUUAAAGAGAAAAGGAAAAUUCAAACUUCCCAAUGGAUUUGCCAUCUCUUAGUCCAGCCUCAGGCUCAGUAGCAGGAAAGUGUCAAAAAUAGGCUCUGUGCCUUCAGACAAGGCUUUCUGGAAUUAGCAGAGUAGUUGCAUGAGGCAGUACAUAUAGAUUUGGAGCAAUAAUUUCUCUUCCACUGUCUCACUGUUCAAAAUUUUGGGGGUUUUAUUUUUGGUGUUUUUUUUUUUUUUGUAGCAAGAAGGAGAUUUUCAAAGUAAUUUCUUUUUCUCUCCACUCAGGAUUUUUAUAAUCUCUGAAAUAAGGACAGCUGCAACUUGUUUUGAAAAGGAAGUGCUCAUGGGAAUAAUACAAUGAAAAUGAUCCCCAAUAGAAAAAAGUUCAGUGAUCAGAGUUGUUACUUAAAGUAGGCUCUAUAAAAGCCACUUCCAGGACCCUCACCAGAACCCAGAGACUUACUAAGAUUGAGACACAGGUACUUGUGUACCUGCCACAUCUUACCUUUCUGUGCUAUUUCUACCCCACAUAUACAAGACAACACUCGCUGUUAAUUAGGCUUCAUAGUUCCCCAUAUUCAUUUGCUACAACUGUAUGCUUAUGAAAGUAUGAGCUCUCUGGAAAACCUGGAUUAUGAUGAAAUAAGCUUGAAAACAUUAUAUUUGGCCUUUGGUUCCUGGAUGUGACACAUCUAUAAACUCCUGUUGUCAUUGCAAUACAGUAUCUCUACACAGAAAUAGGGGCUAUUUCUUGUACUGCCCUAUUCCAAUCACACUUUGUGCCUCUUCCUGCAAACAGCAGACAGAUGGAGCAUCAAUUCCUAGAUUAUCAUAUCCAGUCACUGAUAGUGGAAGGCAAGCGUUAGUAGCAUGCAUCUGUCUCUCAUAAUGUUAAGACUCACAAUUACAAACACAGCUUAGUGUAUGCAAGUGCUAGAAUGCACACACAAUGAACUUGUACUGCAUCAGAACUGAGUCAACGCCUAUCGCUUAUUCCAUCUGGAAAACUAACAUGUUUAGCAACUAUGACAUAGAACAAUUCUAUACAAUGUUGUACCACAGUAAAAAAAUGCACAAAAAUUUGACAAAACCCAGAAAAGCUGCUAGAAAAAUCUCAACAGUAGAAAAUAAGCACUUCCAGUAUAAAUCUCACUUUCUUUUUGUAUCCACUAUAAUCACACUGGUCUGCCUUUCAUUAUAUUUCCAUACAAAUGUUGUGUUGGUGCUGUUCUCCAUUGGAGCUCUCACCUUCAUAUAGUUUGCCCUAACAUCCAAAGCUUCUGCCAUCAAGAUUCAUGAUGAUUAACUUGCAUUUCUUUUCUGUGAUUGUGGCAGUACUUAUUCAACAAAGUCCCUACCUAUACGUAUUUAUAUAGAUAUACAUGUAUAUAUACACACAUACAUACAUACACAUGACAAAUACUGCUGCAGUUAUCCUCUCUUCCAGUGUUUGGAGUGACAGGCAUCCUAGAACGUGAAGGCAUACACCACUCCCACAACCACAAUAUUUCCAAUUGUUGCUAUGAUCGCAAUCCAUAACAAUAUGGCAUCAUUUGAAGACCGGGAUGUUUCUUCUGGUGGAUUCUGCAUGGAAGAAGCUGCAUGGACAUUGGCCGAUGAGUUAAACAAGGAGUACUCUGUACUAAAGUCCUCAUUUGGUGAGUCCAUAAAGGCUCCUCCCAUAACAGGAAGCUGCAAAGAAGAAUAUGGCAAAAUUAGAUUGAAAGCCAAUGCAUGCAUUUGUUUGGUUUCGAAGUCAUUAUGAAAGGGUAACCACUAGCCAACCUCCCACAUCACUGAGGUUCCAUGUUCUUGGUGCUAAGCUGUCAGGACGAUCAUGUACAUACUGUACACUACUUCUUCCAUUUCUGUUAGGAUUGUUUUUACUGAAAAAAAACCUAUGCGUAUUGCACAUACCAUCAUACAUCAGAGCUAGUCUACAGGCUCCAAGUAAAGCUACACAAUAAUAUGAAAUUGUCAUUUCUUUUCAAAGGAUAAAGAAAUGGUAAUCCACAAAAGCAUUCACAUACCAAAGCACAGCACCAUAACUGUUUUAAGACUACCAGCAACAAACUCAUCAAGUAAGCACAGUGUGGAUGUGAGCAGGGAAUUUGUUCCACUUUUAUGUAUGGCUUAGAAGCAAACACAAUUUAUAUAUGCAAAAACAAAAAACAAAAAACAUGCAUUGCAGAAGUUGUUACAGUAAAGAAGAUGGAGUGCGCCAAGUGCACUAACUUCACUUGCAAAACAUAUCUGCAAUGUGUUAUUUAUAAAUCUAUAAAUUCUGAUAAUUCUGUAUAUCUAGAGAAUUAUUAAUCUACGCAGUGGAAAACUUCAAUUAUGAUAGACUUCAGAGUAAUGAAGUUAGUGACAGAUUUCCAGCAUCACUACUACCUUACUGGGUGUUCUUAAUGGUUUUUCCAGUGCUACCACAAAAAGUUUUCAGUUCUUCAUUUGCAAAUGUUUUUGAGGUUUUGGCAACUCUUCACCUAUCCGAAUUGGGCUCUCCUCUAUGUAUGAAACCAGAGUCUUUAGCCCAGUAACAACAAAAUAAGAAUCCUCUCUUCUUCAGUAUUAGUAAUAGUACUAUUAGAGCUAGCAGCAGCUCAGUACUGCUGAAGUCACCAUGGCCUACGAAUAAUGGAGUAAUCAACCUUACUUUCCUUUAGCCACACCACAGAAGGCUGCUAUAACCAUGAGCGCUAAAUUACCAUGCCCAUUGCUCACUGUGCUGGAAAAUUAGUGUCUUUCAACACUAUCCUUCAAAUACUGCAACACACUUUGAUUCGCCUGUUGGUACCAAGCUACAUCCCACCUGUCUGCCUUCAGCUGUGCUAUGGAGGCUGCUAAACAAGAGAGGACUCAAAGAUAAGCCACCUCCCUCCUCCCACAAUGGUGGCUGUAAUCUAAUAUUAGAGCAAAGAAUUUGCUAAGUGUGACAGUAAGGCAAUCUUUUCCUUGAUAUUCAGAACAUUCUACAAAGCAGUCACUGUUUCAAAAACUGACUGCUGAGCAGAUUUUGUUUGUACUGGAAAAUAUGUCACAUUUCAAAUGAAACAGAGACAGAAACAGUUAUGUCAUACUUCCUAAUCCACAUUAAAUAAAAUUAUUUUUGAGAGCAAAUAAAUGGUAUGAUUAGACAAAAGCAGUUUACUUGAAACCAAACAGGAAACUGCAAAAGUCAGGUCUGGAACACUGGCCCUGCACCAAAGAAUUUUUGCUUCUACUUUCAGCACUGUGCUUUAUAGAGAGCAAAAGCUUCAAUUUUGCAGCAAGCCCAGCUUGCUCCUCUGAAUCCAACAGCACCAGCAUCUUUUACAUCUUGGGAUUCAAUAGAGAAAACUGUUCAAUUUAACCAGAAUUCCUUUUUAUGUAGGGAUUAAAGUCAGAAUUGGCUUUUAUAGCAAAUGCAACCAGAGCAUUCAUGCAGAAGAGCUGCCAUUCAGCAGCUAUGGAGAUACUAGUUAAAGCAGCAAACAACGGGCACAUGUUUACUACAGCAGCAGCAAAACGCUUACUCUUUUUAGUAUUUACAUUGAUCAAAUCUACAAAGUCUUUCAACUACAGCAACCAUCCUUGGUGAUUGUUCAUGGAAGACACACAGGUACAUGUAAAUGUGCAUGAGCCCAAGACUGUGAGGUUGUGAGCACUGUUCCAAUAAGUGAUAUCUGUUUUUUGGGCCACACAUUCUCUACCUUCUGUGAAUUAUUUGAGCUGACAAGGUUCCACUGUGCUGAUCCACAUGGUGCUGUCACAAGGGCAGGGAGCACGCAUGUAGCAGCACAGCUACACACCAUGCUGCAAGUGAUGUCAGAUCUGGGCUUCCUCAUUCCAUGCAAGGCUCAAACAAGCUGUUUUCACCAUCUGAGGGGAACACAUGGUGAAACAGCUCAUCUGAGUCUCCAAAAGGCUUGCAGUGACCUGACAUAAAACCCUGAUGUUCAGCACCUGGCACAGGCUCUUUCUGUAAAAUUGACUUUCAGUUUUUCUGUUUGUAGGUCAGUGGCACUUUCAUUGGCAGAUCUGGAAAUAAACCUCACUGCUGAUUUCCCAUUUGAAAAAAAAUUGAUCAUUACUAAAUUUUCAUUCUCCCUCCCACUGAUAAAACAUCCUCAUGUAAGAACACAGGAAUGGCCAGAAAGCUGAUUUUCUGGGCUGUGACUGGCUUUAAGCACCAACAAUGGCCCUAAGUGCUCAGGAAAGAGUAAAAGCACAACUGGACAAGUAUAUCUGAUCCUACUUCUUUGGUUUGUAAACUCAAUGCUAUUACUCUGGAUUUAAUAACUAACUCUCAAAGAAUUUUGUUACCAUGAACACAUCUAAAGCUGUGCAGGCUUCUCAAUCCAGCUUCUUGCUGCCACUUAUCUGGAAGGGUUGCCCAGUGAUUAGCACCACAUAAGUGAGCUGUUGGAGACGCAUUUGGCUCUCCAGUGGAGAGGGAAGCACAGAGAAAAUACAAACUGGUGAUCUAUCUUAGUGGUAGAUUAACCUCAGUAAGAUAACGUCACCCUUAGCCUUGAUGUCUUUGAUUCUCCCAAAAGGCACAGCAUCUUCCCUUUUCAGCCUCAUUUAAGAUAUUGCAUUAAAGCUUGUGAGACAUUCAUACCCAACACUAAUUGGAGCUGUGAAGUGCUUGUAAUAAACUGUAGGCUAAGGAGAGAAACCCUGCAGUACUUCCUGUUCUUGCUGCACUUGCCUGUCUCUGCCUCUGCAAAACAUACAACAAUUUAUUUUAGCCAAGAACUUAACCCACAUCAUUGCUAUUGCGCAGGCAUCCUCAGAGGGUAUUAUAGUUGGAGCAAAGCAGUGGAGCACCUGUUCCACACUCCUCAAAAUCCCUGCGUGAGGAGACCAGGGAAAAAGGUUAACUGGGAAACGUGGCAGUGAGGGAUACGGCAGGAGAGGACGGUGAGGGAGAGUGCCAUAGCUCUGAAACUCUUUUCUGAGUCAAUAACACAAAGUACAUCUCUUGCUAAAUAGCUUCUGGGAACAGCAAAGAAAAAAUCUGAACUAUUAAAUAACAGGCAAAAAAAGCCCAAACAUAACAUCAAGAGUAAAGAGAACCCCCAUGGCGCUGAAUGCCUCCUCCUGGCAUUCUCCUCAGCCAUCCUCAGCUGAGGGCCAGCAGGAGUAGAACAGGGCUCUUGAACAGUUAAAAUGAUACAUUUGCCUGUUGGCAAAAAAAAAAAAAAAAUAUAUAUAUAUAUAUAUAUAUAUAUAAAUCUGUUUUAUAACUUAAAUGAUUCACAUAAAGGAAAGAAAACAUGGCAGGUCCCAUUCACCAAUACUCUAAAAAUGAUGGCUUAAGUAACAUCACAUAAAAUCCAUCAUUUAGCAGUAACGUUGUUCCAUUUCUUUGAGAAUCAGAGAACAUCUUUUACAUCAAGCUAGACAAGUACGACAUUCAGUUCCUGCUAUGUUAGAGGGAAUCCAGGCUCAGCAGAUAGAUUUGAAAGCACAGCUAAAUCUUCCAGUAGCUGUUUUCAAGAGACCAGGAAACCUCAGCAGCAUCUUUGACAGAUAUGCUGGACCACUAGUGGAUGGAGCUCAGCUAAAUCUUUAUCCCUAAGCAUGGCCACACCUCAAGUACUUUGUAAGAGAACGUGCCUUAUGCAGACCAAAGCACCUUUCAGCGCAAAGUUAUUCUGCUGAACCAGUUGAAAGAAACAGUAAUUGGUGAGAAGGUGUUUCCAUCCUGUUUUUUUUUUUCCCCAACUCUUAUAUUUCUGCGCAAGUAGCAUGCAAGUUACCUUAGUGAAAAAGGCACAGUUCCAUUCCACACAAUCUAGAUUUCCCAAAUUCUUUCUUGUAAUAGCUCUUACUAUUCAAACAACAACAACAAAAAAAAAAAAAAGAAAAAAAAAAAGAAAAAGAAAAAACCAACAACAACCAAACAAAACAAGAAUAGCAAAACAGCAACAAAAAACACCCGACUGCUUUCAAAUUGACUACUAUCGGUGUCAGUUAACUGCUCUUGGAUCUCAUCUUCCAAAUGUGGAAGACGAGGAGCAAGUAGAAGUCCUUAAUUGCUGAAAAUUGAAACAGAGUCUGAAAUGGAAACAGAGGAGGGGUUCCUCCUCUCAUCCCUAGUCUCAAGAGUUCCUCCUCCCCUUCCAGCCAAUGUCAGUAAUGCUGCAUCAAGAAAAAGAGGAAGCUUUGCUCAGAGCUGAACAAAAAUAAAAACAAUUGUAUAAAGAAC